UACAUGGGGUGCAAACGUUGCCCGGAAUUAUUGGGCGUAAAGCGCGCGUAGGCGGUUACUCAAGUCGGAUGUGAAAGCCCUCGGCUUAACUGAGGAAGUGCACCCGAAACUGAGUAGCUAGAGUACCAAAGAGGGUCGCGGAAUUCCCGGUGUAGAGGUGAAAUUCGUAGAUAUCAGGAGGAACACCGGUGGCGAAGGCGGCUUCCUGGCCAUUCACUGACGCUGAGACGCGAAAGCGUGGGGAGCAAACAGG
RNAcentral lists this ribosomal RNA (253 nucleotides) under uncultured bacterium. RNAcentral describes it as "partial 16S ribosomal RNA". It matches the Rfam family "Bacterial small subunit ribosomal RNA", at positions 524 to 776 of the family's 1533-position model. The record is from RNAcentral.